GUUGUAUGAGUUAUACACUCACUUAUAUAAUUUUUAUAGUUAAUAGAUCUUCCCCUUACUAAGUGAAAGGAGUAUUUGUUUCUCCAUGGGGUGGGAACUCUUUGUACCAUACUGGUACUUUAAUAGAUGGUCUAAUUGAUAUCAACCCAAUUAAUUUACCAGGUCUACCACGUGUUCUAAAUUGGUUAGACAUUAUUCCCAUUUGAAUUGCCUUCACUCCUGAGUCUCUGAGUGUCAGGUUCAAGCUGCUGACCGACGAGGUUCCUUAUGCUUGCGAACCAGUUAGAUUCUAUACACAUAUGAAUCUUCCCCAUAUUCGAAUAUCUGAAUGUCAGACUCAAGCUGAUGAUAUAUGAGGUAUGGUCCCCGCUGUAUCAAUCAAGUCCCAUUGAAAUAUUAAAACGUUGUUCAUACAUCUUUGAAUGACCUUUUAUGUGCUGACAAUAUGUUCUGAAAUGAAGAGAUUUUACCCCUGAUGAAGUCUUGGAACAAGACGAAACGCGUUGGUUUAUUUAUCUAUCUAUUAUCUGAUGUUACCUCCGAAUCUACAAUAAGGAGAAGGAGGAAAUCGUAGUGAUAUAUCUACGCUUUUUCCUCAUCACUACAAACUGAUUGUUCAAAUUGUGCGACAAAUGUAAAUGUAUCAACUCUGUAUACUUAUGAACAUUUGUGUCGGGUUUAUAUGUUGUUUUAAUAAAUUUUUAUGUUAGUA
This is a long non-coding RNA of Pseudophryne corroboree (corroboree frog), 712 nucleotides long. RefSeq lists it as uncharacterized. The transcript is spliced from 4 exons. The record is from RefSeq and is a predicted model, not a curated record. NCBI's taxonomy places the organism in Eukaryota, Metazoa, Chordata, Amphibia, Anura, Myobatrachidae.